GAGAAAUCCUCAUAUGAUGGCAAUGACUUUGCACUGGUAAGGAAAAGAAUACCUUCAUGCCUUCAUGGUUCUUGCCCUUUUUCUGUCUCACCAAAAUCAAGACUCAGGUCAUGUGCACGUUUGUCAAGAAAACACCUUUUUUUUUCCAUAAAAUAAAAAGGCCCUGGAAGACAAGUGUAAUGCAUUGAGGUCUAUGAAAGCCACAAAAGAAGCAAAAGUCAAACAGCUGAAGGAGAAAGCACAUAACCUGGAAGAAUUCUAUGAACAAAGAAAAGUGCCUACAUAAAAGAAGCUGAAAAUGACACUGUGAACUGGCGGCAAAGAAGAAUCAGUUGGCAGCUGCAAGCAACAAAUUGAACAAACACGGGAACGGCUGCAGCAGGCAGAGCUCACCUUUAGACACCAGAUCGCAGUUCAUAAGAAGAAUGCUCAGGACAACUAGGUAAGUGUUUUCUUGUUUCCUCCUCUUUCUUUGGUGCACAGUCUGGCACGACUGGAGGUGGAUGUGUCUUUUCUCCCCCAGCUCAAGACUCACAUCUGGGACAGGGAGAUGGCGGAGCAGGGCAGGGAGGUCGCUUACUUGAAAUAUAGGUGUGGUCAUUUGACUUGCGUUUUUAUGGGUGUUUCCAGGGAUGACGCCCGCACUGUUUGUUGUCUAGUAGACGACAUGGUGUUGCAACUCUUAUAGAAGUCCAUUAUUUUUCUGUAUCCAGGACUGGAAGGGAUGGAAGCAAAGAGGCUGCCUGAGGGAUACACGAGGCAGAAACCAAUGGCUGCAAGACCAGAGACGCAGAAUCCUCCAAGGAGAGGGUCUUUAGUAGAUCGAGAAACUGCUGAAACCUCUGUGAGUUACAGCAGCUCUGACUGUACCAAGAAUGCAGACAAGGACAAGGGCGGUCUGGAUCCUGAGGACCUCCUCCAUUAACUGGAAGAUUCUGCAUGCCCUACCCUAGAUGUGCUCCGCCCCCAUGGACUAUUAGGCACAUCCACCUCCUGAACCUUGGUGGCCCUGGGGCCACCCCGAACCCCUCCACCUGCAACACUUGGGCUUUUUGUAGGUCCAGAAGCAGGUGUCACACUCAAGAGUGACAUCAACACUGGCUCUGCCAAAACUGCCAAGAAGCACAAGGCUAUUAUGUAUGCAAGAGGGCCUGGUCCUUUCCCAGGAUCGCCUUGCAGGCUGUACCCCAGCACCACCCUUCACCACCAGUCAUGGGCUAUAGGCCACAUUCCCCUCCUCCACCAGCUCCUCCACCUAUUCUAUUUGUCAAGAUGACCUGAAUUGGAUGAGUGGCUGGACAACCACUUUGAAAUUUGAAGAGGACUGUGCACGGUGACAGACUAUGGUGAUUAUAUAUACAUUUUAAGAACGUAUCAGAUCUACCUGAAUGCUUUCCCUGCCCAUCAUGUCACCUCCACUUUGUCCUUCCUACUGUCCCCUAAUCCACCUUUCACCAUUCUGUCUCUGUGUCAGCGUCUGCUUCUAGGACCAUCUACUCUCACUCCCCAUCGAGUGCACACAGUGGGGUUCCUGUACACACAGGUAACAAACUGGCAGAAAUGGUGAUGAUAGAGGAUAGAAGCAAGAUCACCCUUUAUGCAGGGGAGCCUGAGGGAGUUUUCCAGGGUGAUGGGAACUUCCUACAUCUAGAUUGUUGAGGUGCUUAUGCUAAUUUAUUUUAGAAAUAUUCACUGACUCCCUGGUGCCUCGGGGUCAGAUAGACAGGUAUCUGUCCUAGGAAAUGGCUGAGUUCUAAUGGUGGGGAAGGAUGAGGGACCAGCAGUGACUUUGGGAGAGGAGUGAGGAGGCCACACAUGGAGUCAGACCCUCGCCCAGAAUGCCAGGUCUCCACAGACUACACCACGUGUAGGAGGGCUCUGAGGAGCAGAUAUUUCUUGAUCUGACCCGUGAACUACCUAAUCCUCUUGCAGUUUCCUCACUGAGGGAUGGACAGGGCAGAGACCAGCAGCUGGAGGACACCCUGAUCACGGCUGGAUUGGAGCAGUGGGCCUGGGGGAUUGAGUCUGAGAAAGGAACAGGCAGAAGGUAGCGACAGGGGGUUUGAGAGACAAAGGGAAGAAAAGAGAAGGGACUCUUGUCUGUUGACUUCACCUACAUUUCUGUGUGACCAAAAGGAGACUCUUGUCUCCAAGGGUAGGGAAGAGGGCCAGCAAAAAGAGUGACAUUCUCAGCUCAAGAGUCCAGGAUGUCUGCCUUGCUCUUGAGUACCUAACACAGGAAGUGCAUACUUUUUGUCAUGAUUGGAACUGCGGCUCGUACCAUUUAGUGAAAAUCAAUCCAAUUAUGAAUCCCUCAACAUUAAAGUACUGCAACAAAAUUAAGUGAACAGACUGAAAAAUACAACACAGGAUAAAGUCCAAGGGUAGACUGACCCCAAUACUUACAGGAAUACAGUCUAUCAGAAAAGGAGGUAGGUACCCCAGUGCAGGCAUUCAGACACCUGGGCAAUAUCUGAAAGCGUAAAAAAAAAAAAUUUAGUCCUUCAAAAGCAACAUAAGCGCUAGACACAAAGGGAUCAUGAUUUAAGGUUUAGAGAGAAACCAUAUGAUUUCAUGGUGCUGUAUCCAUGAGAUCAAGUCUCAUCAGAUUAUACCCUUUAACUUGGGGCUAUUUGUUAUAUGUAAAUUAUACCUCAUUAAAGAGAGUUUCAAAACAUAAAAUACUAGAAGAAAAUGUGGGAACGUUCCUUUCUAAUCCUGAAGUGCAUGGGUGAUAUGAGUCUGUCUGCCCAUGUCUCAAAACUCCAAAAUAAUAAGACAUUUAAAAAAAUUAAUAAUAGAGUAAGAGGACCCUGAGCUCACCCUGUCCCAUGUGUUCAACUACAUAACAUCCACAUCCAAGUCCAUGAACCAGAGAGCUAUCCAAAGACUGGCAGAACAAACCCCCCACCUAAAUAGAGAGAAGCUUCAUCAGAAAGGUUAGGAAGGUCAGAAAGGUGGAGGCUGGCUGCCUGCAGAGAAGACAGAGAAAGUGAGCCCUCACAACAGGGAGCUGACACAGGGAAGACUAAUCCCCAGAACAUUUGGCUGUAAAACCCAGAGGGACUGAAUUCCCUUGAGUUUGGUUCCUGGAGCUUUGGAGAUCAGCUGACCCAGCACUGGGUGAUCUAGGAGGAUGAGUGUAACCAGGUCCCUACCUGUGUAGAGAGGCAAUGUACACAUGGCAUUUUACACAAUGCCAAGGCAACAGGAGGCAGAUCUGUUCAUGCUGACUUCUGAGUGGUUGGGGGACUUUUCCAAAAAUGAGGGAGCUCACAGUCACCAUUUUUAACCCCAACCCCCACCCCCAGAUUAAGCACAGAGGCACCUACCAGGAAUUGGACCUGCAAAGACACUUGCUAACUAACGUGCUAGCUGUGUGCCAGUCCCAAGAGUUCUCUAGGGGAAUCGCCCACUCAAAGCCUGCUGGCCUUGUGGCAAACUUUUUUAAAACCACAUGGGCACCCUGUCUGGCCAGCUGUAGGCAAAGCUGCCACUGCACACAUCUGCACCGUACCCAGCUGUGCACCUCCAGCUACCCUUAUCUGUCUCACACAGCCACAUGUCCCCAAACACCAAAGCACAGCAACAGAUUUGUCAACAGAAUCUUGGCAAGCCAGAAGGAAGUGACAUGACGUAUUCAAAGUGCCGAAUGGAAAAAUCACCAGCCAAGA
Molecule: long non-coding RNA, 3674 nt
Organism: Acinonyx jubatus (cheetah)
Lineage: Eukaryota; Metazoa; Chordata; Mammalia; Carnivora; Felidae
Exons: 9
Source: RefSeq, a predicted model, not a curated record